This 497-nucleotide ribosomal RNA is filed under the name uncultured bacterium. RNAcentral's name for it is "partial 16S ribosomal RNA". It matches the Rfam family "Bacterial small subunit ribosomal RNA", at positions 28 to 507 of the family's 1533-position model. The record is from RNAcentral.
GAUGAACGCUGGCGGCGUGCCUAAUACAUGCAAGUCGAGCGAACGGACGAGAAGCUUGCUUUUCUGAUGUUAGCGGCGGACGGGUGAGUAACACGUGGAUAACCUACCUAUAAGACUGGGAUAACUUCGGGAAACCGGAGCUAAUACCGGAUAAUAUUUUGAACCGCAUGGUUCAAAAGUGAAAGACGGUCUUGCUGUCACUUAUAGAUGGAUCCGCGCUGCAUUAGCUAGUUGGUAAGGUAACGGCUUACCAAGGCAACGAUGCAUAGCCGACCUGAGAGGGUGAUCGGCCACACUGGAACUAAGACACGGUCCAGACUCCUACGGGAGGCAGCAGUAGGGAAUCUUCCGCAAUGGGCGAAAGCCUGACGGAGCAACGCCGCGUGAGUGAUGAAGGUCUUCGGAUCGUAAAACUCUGUUAUUAGGGAAGAACAUAUGUGUAAGUAACUGUGCACAUCUUGACGGUACCUAAUCAGAAAGCCACGGCUAACUACGUA